RNAcentral lists this ribosomal RNA (244 nucleotides) under uncultured bacterium. RNAcentral describes it as "partial 16S ribosomal RNA". It matches the Rfam family "Bacterial small subunit ribosomal RNA", at positions 92 to 339 of the family's 1533-position model. The record is from RNAcentral.
CGAGUGGCGGACGGGUGAGUAACGCGUAGGAAUCUGCCUUAUAGCGGGGGAUAGCCCGGGGAAACUCGGAUUAAUACCGCAUACGCCCCACGGGGGAAAGGCCGGGAUCUUCGGACCGGUCACUAUUGGAGGAGCCUGCGUAGGAUUAGCUAGUUGGUGAGGUAAAGGCUCACCAAGGCGACGAUCCUUAGCUGGUCUGAGAGGACGAUCAGCCACACUGGAACUGAGACACGGUCCAGACUCC